UGCCAGCAGCCGCGGUAACACGGGGGGCGCAAGCGUUAUUCGGAAUUAUUGGGCGUAAAGGGCGUGUAGGCGGCCGAUCAAGUCGGGUGUGAAAUCCCUCGGCUCAACCGAGGAACUGCAUUCGAUACUGGUCAGCUAGAGUGCGAGAGGGGUGAGUGGAACUCCAGGUGUAGCGGUGAAAUGCGUAGAUAUCUGGAGGAACGCCGGUGGCGAAAGCGACUCACUGGCUCGCAACUGACGCUGAGGCGCGAAAGCUAGGGGAGCGAACGGGAUUAGAUA
Molecule: ribosomal RNA, 279 nt
Filed under: uncultured bacterium
Lineage: Bacteria
Description: partial 16S ribosomal RNA
Rfam family: Bacterial small subunit ribosomal RNA
Source: RNAcentral